GACGAACCGUGCGAACGUUGUUCGGAAUCACUGGGCUUAAAGGGCGCGUAGGCGGGCCCGCAAGUCAGGGGUGAAAUCCCACGGCUCAACCGUGGAAGUGCCUUUGAUACUGCGGGUCUCGAGGGAGGUAGGGGCGUGCGGAACUUCCGGUGGAGCGGUGAAAUGCGUAGAUAUCGGAAGGAACACCGGUGGCGAAAGCGGCGCGCUGGACCUCUUCUGACGCUGAGGCGCGAAAGCUAGGGUAGCGAACGGG
Molecule: ribosomal RNA, 253 nt
Filed under: uncultured bacterium
Lineage: Bacteria
Description: partial 16S ribosomal RNA
Rfam family: Bacterial small subunit ribosomal RNA
Source: RNAcentral